RNAcentral lists this ribosomal RNA (253 nucleotides) under uncultured bacterium. RNAcentral describes it as "partial 16S ribosomal RNA". It matches the Rfam family "Bacterial small subunit ribosomal RNA", at positions 524 to 776 of the family's 1533-position model. The record is from RNAcentral.
UACGGGGGGGGCAAGCGUUGUUCGGAUUUACUGGGCGUAAAGGGCGCGCAGGCGGCCGCAUUUGUCAGGCGUGAAAUCCCACGGCUCAACCGUGGAAGUGCACUCGAAACUGCGUAGCUAGAGUCCUGGAGAGGAAGGUGGAAUGCUUGGUGUAGAGGUGAAAUUCGUAGAUAUCAAGCGGAACACCGGUGGCGAAGGCGGCCUUCUGGACGAUGACUGACGCUGAGACACGAAAGCGUGGGGAGCAAACAGG